This 468-nucleotide ribosomal RNA is filed under the name uncultured bacterium. RNAcentral's name for it is "partial 16S ribosomal RNA". It matches the Rfam family "Bacterial small subunit ribosomal RNA", at positions 28 to 523 of the family's 1533-position model. The record is from RNAcentral.
GAUGAACGCUGGCGGCGUGCCUAACACAUGCAAGUCGAGCGAUUUACUUCGGUAAAGAGCGGCGGACGGGUGAGUAACGCGUGGGUAACCUGCCCUGUACACACGGAUAACAUACCGAAAGGUAUGCUAAUACGAGAUAAUAUGCUUUUAUCGCAUGGUAGAAGUAUCAAAGCUUUUGCGGUACAGGAUGGACCCGGGUCUGAUUAGCAAGUUGGUAAGGUAACGGCUUACCAAGGCGACGAUCAGUAGCCGACCUGAGAGGGUGAUCGGCCACAUUGGAACUGAGACACGGUCCAAACUCCUACGGGAGGCAGCAGUGGGGAAUAUUGCACAAUGGGCGAAAGCCUGAUGCAGCAACGCCGCGUGAGCGAUGAAGGCCUUCGGGUCGUAAAGCUCUGUCCUCAAGGAAGAUAAUGACGGUACUUGAGGAGGAAGCCCCGGCUAACUACGUGCCAGCAGCCGCAGUAA